Molecule: long non-coding RNA, 758 nt
Organism: Pongo pygmaeus (Bornean orangutan)
Lineage: Eukaryota; Metazoa; Chordata; Mammalia; Primates; Hominidae
Exons: 3
Source: RefSeq, a predicted model, not a curated record
UAAAGUCUGGCUGGAGAGAGGGGCAAGGGGCUGGGGAGCCAGGAAUCCCAGGGGUUUGUGGGGACAAACCAGCCACCCUCUCCUCCUGGGGCUUUUAGCUCUGAUGGAACAUGGGAUCCAACCUUUCCUGAGGACCUACUCCACACCAGGCCCUUUGCAGUGCUCUCAUUGAAUACUCACAGCUACAGUGUGAGGGUGUAAUUACAUCCCCAGUUUACAGAUGAGGAAACUGAGGCCCCGAGUGUGUCUUCCUCAAGGCCACAUGGUGAAUGGUGAGUGGCAGAUCCUUCGCACCCCUGCCGACCCUCGUGGGUGCAGGAGAGGUGAUGAGACCCACCCUUUCAAUUGUACCACCCUGCUCAGGUUGAGAAGAGCUUUCAGUGCAGGAACAGUCCCUACCAGCCUGGAAAACAGACCAGCCUCUGUCACUCCACAGAGAUAACCCACUCUCAUCUUGCUUGUACCUGGCUUCAGGGAUCUUGGGGAGAGAUAAGAGGUUAAAAAGCUCCACCCAGAGAGGGAGUGCAAACAAGCGCCCCAAGAACUGUGUCUGGUUGUUUAUUGAAUGCAAACUCAUUCAUAGAAAACGGAAAUGCAACCAUAGCAUGGAGAUGCUCUGAGAAAAGAUCCAGACCCACCUCAUCUCCCAGCCCUUCAAGCAGAGCUAUAAAAACAAGUUUGGGAGAAAAACACAUUCCCAUCACCAAGGCAGAGGCCCCGCCUGAGCUCCCCCAUCCUCGGCAUCUGGAGUGGACCAG